This is a non-coding RNA of Ictidomys tridecemlineatus (thirteen-lined ground squirrel), 2557 nucleotides long. The record is from RefSeq and is a predicted model, not a curated record. Lineage: Eukaryota; Metazoa; Chordata; Mammalia; Rodentia; Sciuridae.
GUGGCAUCCCUGGGUUCAAUAUCCAGUACCAAAAAAAAAAAAAAGAAGGUGAGGAGGACUCACAUAUUAAACACAAUGAUAAUCAAAUACUUGAAAAUGUUAUCCAGCUAGACUGGUUGUGAAAACCAAAUUACCUCAAGUUUCUUAAAUGUUCUUAAUUUUUUCACACAUAUGUGCACACACCCACAUGCGGAGUAAAUCUAACAAUCCUAAAUAACAUGAGAAAAUUCUUUUAAAAGUUUUUGAGAUACUUUUAUCACCACACACAGGUAAUUUGCUCUAAGUAUUGGUUUCUAGAUUUCUCAAAAUGCUCCUUUGGCCAGGGAAGGAUCAAGUUUGUCCUCCAAAUUUAGAAUAAGAGGAAGGAAAUAAAAAUUUAGACAACCAGUUGGCUGAGAUGUCUCUUCCACCCUUUCAUUGGGCUUUUCCUUUGUUGGUCUACUAUCCUCCCACAAAACCUUUUUUUCUCUUUGCUUAAUAUUGAUGUCUCUGUUCUUUUUCUUUAACUGUGAUAAAAUAGAGAUAACAUAAAGUUUACUAUCUUAAACAUUAAGUGCGUAGCCCAGUAGUGUUAAGUACAUUCUUCUUGUUUUCCAGCCGUCACCACCAUCCUUUCCCAGAAUUCUUUUAUCUUACAAAAUCAAAACUGAACAUUAAACAAUAACUCUCCAGUCCCUCUCCUCCCAGCCUCUGGCCACUAUCAUUCUACUUUCUGUCUCUAUGGAUUUGAAUACUUGAGGACCUUACAUAAGGAGAAUCAAACAGUAUUUGUAUUUUUGUGACUUGUUUAUUUCCCUUAAUGCACCAUAUCCUCAAGGUUCAUCCAUGUUGUAACAUGUGCAGAAUUUUCUUCCUUUUAAAGGCUGAAUAAUAUUCCAUUGUAAGUAUGUAUCAGAUUUUGCUUAUUCAUUGAUUGAUGGACCAUUGGGUUGCUUCCAUGUUUUAGAUACUAUAAAUAAUGAUGCUGUGUGAUUAAUGGUCCAGUUUGGAUCUGGAAUGUCCCUGAAAGUCCCAUGUGUUAAGACUUAGUCUUUAGUUUGGUGCUGUUGGGAGGCAACAGAACCAUUAAGAUGUGGGUCCUUGUGGGAGGUUUUCACUGGGGGCUUGCUCUUGAAGGGGAUUGUGAAACUCUGGUCUCUCUUCUUUUGCUUUUAGCCACCAUGAGAUAAGCAGCCUAUUCCACCACAUGCUUAUGCCAAAAUGCAUUGCCUUGCUGUAGGCCAAAAGCAACAAGCCAACAUCCAGAACUGUAACCCAAAAUAAACCUUUUCUCUUUAUAAUCAGAUUAUCUUGUGUGUUUAACACAGUAAUGGAAAGCUGACUAACGCAAUUACUAUUUCCACAGAAUGUCUUUUUCCAGACUUUCACUGUCAACCUAUUAGUGUUUCUAGAUCUAAAGUGAUUAUUUUAUAAAUAGUAUAUCAUUGGAUCAUUUUUAUGCAUUCUGCCAAGUUCUGCAUUUUGAUUAGAGUGUAGUCCAUUUACAUUCAAAGUAAUUACUAAUAAAGAGGGACUUCAGUCAUUUUGCUAUUUAUUUAUUGGAUUUUUCCCCAUUUCUCACAUUGCUGUCUUUUUUUGUUGAUUUAUUUGCAGUGAAAUAUUUAAUACCUUUAUUUCCUCUUUUGUACACUCUAUAGGUAUUUUCUUUGUGGUUCUCAUGUUUUAAUAUCCUAAAGUCAACACACUGAUUUAAAUUUAUGCUAGAUUAACUUCAGUAACAAAUAGAGCUCUGUUCCCUUAAUGUCUUAAUCUCUACCCCCUUUCAUUUAUUAACGUCACAGAGUUAUAUGUUUUUACAUUAUUUGUACAAAAACAAAUCAACAAUUGUGAUUUUUAUGCCUUAGUCUCUUCAAUUACAUAGAAAACAAAAUGUAGAUUUACAAACCACUCUUACGAUAAUACCAACUUUUCAACUAAUAAUUAUUUUUUCAAAUAUUAGUCCCAAAUUAUGUAGGAAACAAACAGCAGAACCACAAACUGGCCUUGCAAUAUGAUUUGCUUUUUAUAAUUGUUCAUGUACUUAUCUGUAUUUCUUUCUGUGACUUCAAAAACUGUCUAGUAUCCUUUAUCUCUACCUGCAGCGCUCCUUUAUCAGUUCUUACAAAGCAAGUCUGAUGACCAUGAACUCACUCAGCUUUUGGAUAACCUGGAUUACAAACCAUUUUAAGAAGGACAAGUGGAAGGGGGUGGCAGGCGCAGGCACCACGUCUGGCCAGGAAGGUGCAAGAAGAGUCCCCUGAGACAGGCCAAGGAGAGGAAGGAGGAAGAUGAGGCCAUCGAGCAGAAACAAAGGAGGAGCCCACGAACUUGAGGAGGUAAAAGUGAAGGCUACCCAGAAGGACCCCAGGAAUUAAGAAAUCCGGCAAAAAGAAAGCUGUUCCUGUACCUGAGAUGACGGUGACUGAAGGGUGACGAUUCCUUCUUAAACAUCUGAGUCCCUGCCAAAAUGUUUGCCACCUAGACCUGCAAAGAACCAUUGUCUUGGAAUCGGUUGUAAAUUUAAGAAUAAACUUUCAUUUAAAAAAAUAAAAUAAAAACAACCACAUCUUUUUGCAAA